GUCCCGGUGGCUCAGUGGUAGAGCUCCUGUAUAUAGUGAGCAAUAACUGUAGAAGGUCGCAGGUUCGAAUCCUGCUCGGUGGCU
Meloidogyne enterolobii is the source of this 84-nucleotide non-coding RNA. The record is from the annotation of a GenBank genome assembly. Lineage: Eukaryota; Metazoa; Nematoda; Chromadorea; Rhabditida; Meloidogynidae.